Molecule: ribosomal RNA, 253 nt
Filed under: uncultured prokaryote
Description: partial 16S ribosomal RNA
Rfam family: Bacterial small subunit ribosomal RNA
Source: RNAcentral
UACGGAGGGUGCAAGCGUUAUCCGGAUUCACUGGGUUUAAAGGGUGCGUAGGAGGGCAGGUAAGUCAGUGGUGAAAUCUUGGGGCUUAACCCCGAAACUGCCGUUGAUACUAUCUGUCUUGAAUCCCGUGGAGAUGAGCGGAAUAUGUCAUGUAGCGGUGAAAUGCUUAGAUAUGACAUAGAACACCAAUUGCGAAGGCAGCUCGUUACACGAAGAUUGACUCUGAGGCACGAAAGCGUGGGGAUCAAACAGG